Plectropomus leopardus (leopard coralgrouper) is the source of this 227-nucleotide non-coding RNA. NCBI's taxonomy places the organism in Eukaryota, Metazoa, Chordata, Actinopteri, Perciformes, Serranidae. The record is from RefSeq and is a predicted model, not a curated record.
UUGUGGCCUGUAACUAUUUCUGGCUCCUGGUGGAGGCCAUCUUCCUCCACACGCUACUCUUCACAGCCGUGCUGACCAAGAGAUGUCUGCUCAAGAAAUACAUGCUGCUGGGAUGGGGAACGCCUGUUUUAUUUGUAACACCAUGGAUGGUGGUCAAGAUUUUAUAUGAAAACACAGAAUGCUGGUUGAUGGUGAACAGAUGGUUCUGGUGGAUAAUAAGAGGCCCG